Long non-coding RNA from Rhea pennata, 670 nucleotides. RefSeq lists it as uncharacterized. The record is from RefSeq and is a predicted model, not a curated record. NCBI's taxonomy places the organism in Eukaryota, Metazoa, Chordata, Aves, Rheiformes, Rheidae. The transcript is spliced from 3 exons.
CCCGGGGCCGCGCGAUGAAAGGAGAUAAACCGGGGCGGUUUCCAGGCCUCCCCGGGCGGACCCCGCCGCCCCGCGGCCCGGGAGCGACGCGGGGGAGAUCAAAGACAGCGGAGAAAGGGGAAACGGCCGGAGUCACCCACUGACUCCGGCAGCCAAGCGCUGCCUGCAGAUAUUAGAUUACAAUGGAGCUAUUCAUUACGCCGAGACAACAAUUGAAUUAAGGAGAAGAGCGACCAGGGGGACACGGCGCAGCCCUGGGGCCGGCGGGGACCCUGCGGCCACCGCGCACUGGGACUGUCCACGCCGCUGGCACCGCACGCGAUGGCCAGAGCAAGCGCGGCCGCGGGAGCCACCUCCCCCCCGUCCCCCGUGAAUAUGCAGCGCGGCGCCGUGGACCUCGGCUCGCCGCCGUGCUCCGGGGGAACGCGUUAAAAUACUGCAAUUGAAUCUCCCUCUCCAUCUGGGAAAGGACGGGAACAGGGCUCCAGCCUGUUAAAUAAUAUUAUGGAUUAAUCCAGCGCACUAAAUAAUUGCCUAAUAGGAGUGCACAAGGCAAAUCUCCGCAUUUGGGUAAUUGCGUGUUGGGCGCCUGUGAGUAAUGCAAUUGUUUGGGGCUGGCUCAUUGUUCCGGCCACUAUUAGUCAAGGAGCAAAUUAGAAACAAUUUCUUG